RNAcentral lists this ribosomal RNA (229 nucleotides) under Penicillium corylophilum. RNAcentral describes it as "partial 28S ribosomal RNA". It matches the Rfam family "Eukaryotic large subunit ribosomal RNA", at positions 1 to 226 of the family's 3401-position model. The record is from RNAcentral. Lineage: Eukaryota; Fungi; Ascomycota; Eurotiomycetes; Eurotiales; Aspergillaceae.
GGUUGACCUCGGAUCAGGUAGGGAUACCCGCUGAACUUAAGCAUAUCAAUAAGCGGAGGAAAAGAAACCAACAGGGAUUGCCUCAGUAACGGCGAGUGAAGCGGCAAGAGCUCAAAUUUGAAAGCUGGCCCCCUCGGGGUCCGCAUUGUAAUUUGCAGAGGAUGCUUCGGGAGUGGCCCCCAUCUAAGUGCUCUGGAACGGGCCGUCAUAGAGGGUGAGAAUCCCGUAU